UACGUAGGGUGCGAGCGUUAAUCGGAAUUACUGGGCGUAAAGCGUGCGCAGGCGGUUUUGUAAGCCCGAUGUGAAAUCCCCGGGCUCAACCUGGGAAUGGCAUUUGGGACUGCAAGGCUGGAGUGCGGCAGAGGAGACUGGAAUUCCUGGUGUAGCAGUGAAAUGCGUAGAUAUCAGGAGGAAUACCGAUGGCGAAGGCAGGUCUCUGGGCUGACACUGACGCUCAUGCACGAAAGCGUGGGGAGCAAACAGG
This 253-nucleotide ribosomal RNA is filed under the name uncultured bacterium. Its description in RNAcentral is "partial 16S ribosomal RNA". It matches the Rfam family "Bacterial small subunit ribosomal RNA", at positions 524 to 776 of the family's 1533-position model. The record is from RNAcentral.